This 974-nucleotide ribosomal RNA is filed under the name uncultured Chloroflexota bacterium. Its description in RNAcentral is "bacterial SSU rRNA". It matches the Rfam family "Bacterial small subunit ribosomal RNA", at positions 68 to 1059 of the family's 1533-position model. The record is from RNAcentral. Lineage: Bacteria; Bacillati; Chloroflexota.
GGUAGCCUUGGAUUCGUCUGAGGCGAGAGUGGCAAACGGGUGAGUAACACGUAGGUGACCAACCCCGAAGUGGGGAGUAACUACUGGAAACGGUAGCUAAUACCCCAUGUGCUUGGUGAUUCGGUUCACCAUGUAAAGCCGAAAGGCGCUUCGGGACGGGCCUGCGGCCCAUCAGGUUGUUGGUAGGGUAAUGGCCUACCAAGCCUAUGACGGGUAGGGGGCGUGAGAGCGUGAUCCCCCACACUGGCACUGCGACACGGGCCAGACUCCUACGGGAGGCAGCAGUGAGGAAUAUUGAGCAAUGGGCGCAAGCCUGACUCAGCAACGCCGCGUGGGCGAUGAAGGCCUUCGGGUUGUAAAGCCCUUUUCCAGGGGACGAGAAAGGACGGUACCCUGGGAAUAAGGUUCGGCUAACUACGUGCCAGCAGCCGCGGUAAUACGUAGGAACCGAGCGUUAUCCGGAUUCACUGGGCGUAAAGCGCGUGCAGGCGGUUCUAUAAGUCGGACGUGAAAGCUCUUGGCUUAACUGGGAGAGGCCGUUCGAUACUAUAGAGCUUGAGGUCGGGAGAGGGAUGCGGAAUUCCCGGUGUAGUGGUGGAAUGCGUAGAUAUCGGGAGGAACACCAGUGGCGAAGGCGGCAUCCUGGCCCGCACCUGACGCUAAGACGCGAAAGCGUGGGGAGCGAACGGGAUUAGAUACCCCGNGUAGUCCACGCUGUAAACGGUGGAUACUAGGUGUUGGUGGCUAUCGUCAUCAGUGCCGUAGCAAACGCGUUAAGUAUCCCGCCUGGGGACUACGGCCGCAAGGCUAAAACUCAAAGGAAUUGACGGGGGCCCGCACAAGCAGCGGAGCGUGUGGUUUAAUUCGAGGCUACACGAAGAACCUUACCUGGGCUUGACAUGCACGUAGUAGUGAAGCGAAAGCGGAACGACCCUUCGGGGAGCGUGCACGGGUGCUGCAUGGCUGUCGUCAGC